RNAcentral lists this ribosomal RNA (302 nucleotides) under uncultured bacterium. RNAcentral describes it as "partial 16S ribosomal RNA". It matches the Rfam family "Bacterial small subunit ribosomal RNA", at positions 508 to 809 of the family's 1533-position model. The record is from RNAcentral.
GCAGUAGCCGCGGUAAUACGUAGGUGGCAAGCGUUGUCCGGAAUUAUUGGCGUAAAGCGCGCGCAGGCGGAUCAGUUAGUCUGUCUUAAAAGUUCGGGGCUUAACCCCGUGAUGGGAUGGAAACUGCUGAUCUAGAGUAUCGGAGAGGAAAGUGGAAUUCCUAGUGUAGCGGUGAAAUGCGUAGAUAUUAGGAAGAACACCAGUGGCGAAGGCGACUUUCUGGACGAAAACUGACGCUGAGGCGCGAAAGCCAGGGGAGCGAACGGGAUUAGAUACCCCGGUAGUCCCUGUCUCUUAUACAA